CCUACGGGAGGCAGCAGUGGGGAAUUUUGGACAAUGGGCGAAAGCCUGAUCCAGCAAUGCCGCGUGUGUGAAGAAGGCCUUCGGGUUGUAAAGCACUUUUGUCCGGAAAGAAAUCCUUGACUCUAAUACAGUCGGGGGAUGACGGUACCGGAAGAAUAAGCACCGGCUAACUACGUGCCAGCAGCCGCGGUAAUACGUAGGGUGCGAGCGUUAAUCGGAAUUACUGGGCGUAAAGCGUGCGCAGGCGGUUUGCUAAGACCGAUGUGAAAUCCCCGGGCUCAACCUGGGAACUGCAUUGGUGACUGGCAGGCUAGAGUAUGGCAGAGGGGGGUUAGAAUUCCACGUGUAGCAGUGAAAUGCGUAGAGAUGUGGAGGAAUACCGAUGGCGAAGGCAGCCCCCUGGGCCAAUACUGACGCUCAUGCACGAAAGCGUGGGGAGCAAACAGGAUUAGAUACCCUGGUAGUCCACGCCCUAAACGAUGUCACUAGUUGUUGGGGAUUCGAUUUCCUUAGUAACGUAGCUAACGCGUGAAGUUGACCGCCUGGGGAGUACGGUCGCAAGAUUAAAACGUCAAAGGAUUGACGG
RNAcentral lists this ribosomal RNA (586 nucleotides) under uncultured bacterium. RNAcentral describes it as "bacterial SSU rRNA". It matches the Rfam family "Bacterial small subunit ribosomal RNA", at positions 338 to 916 of the family's 1533-position model. The record is from RNAcentral.